GACGAACGCUGGCGGCGUGCUUAACACAUGCAAGUCGAACGGUGAACUCCGCUUGCGGGGGGAUCAGUGGCGAACGGGUGAGUAACACGUGGGCAACCUGCCCUCAGCUCUGGGAUAACUCCAAGAAAUUGGGGCCAAUACCGGAUAUGACCGCUGUCCGCAUGGUCUGGGGGUGGAAGGAUUUAGCGGCUGGGGUUGGGCCUGCGGGUUACCAGCUUGUUGGUGGGGUAGUGGCUGACCAAGCGGGUGACGGGUCGCCGGCCUGGGAGGGGGACCGCGCACCAGAGGACUGAGGCACGGCGCAGAAGCCUACGUGACGCAGCAGGGGGGAGUAUUGCGCAGUGAGGGAGAGCCAGUCGCAGCGACGCCGGGUGGGGGAUGACGGCCUUCGGGUUGUAAACCUCUGUCAGCAUAGACGAAGCGAAAGUGACGGUACCUGCAGAAGAAGCACCGGCCAACUACGUG
Molecule: ribosomal RNA, 465 nt
Filed under: uncultured bacterium
Lineage: Bacteria
Description: partial 16S ribosomal RNA
Rfam family: Bacterial small subunit ribosomal RNA
Source: RNAcentral